GAUGAAGAACGUAGCGAAAUGCGAUAAGUAAUGUGAAUUGCAGAAUUCAGUGAAUCAUCGAAUCUUUGAACGCACAUUGCGCCCCCUGGUAUUCCGGGGGGCACACCUGUUCGAGCGCCAUUUCAACCCUCAAGCCUUGCUUGGUGAUGGGCCCCGCCCGUGCGGCGGGCCCGAAACUCGUGGGCGCCCCAGGCCGGACUCCAAGCAUAGCAAAACCCUCGCUUGCGGACGACCGGUCGGAGGCCGCCCCGGACCCCCAAUAUUUAUCAAUGGUUGGCCUCGGAUCAGGUGGGGAUACCCGCUGAACUUAAGCAUAUCAAUAAGCGGAGGA
Molecule: unclassified non-coding RNA, 331 nt
Filed under: soil metagenome
Description: partial contains 5.8S ribosomal RNA, internal transcribed spacer 2, and large subunit ribosomal RNA
Rfam family: 5.8S ribosomal RNA (bases 1-120)
Source: RNAcentral